RNAcentral lists this ribosomal RNA (207 nucleotides) under uncultured bacterium. Its description in RNAcentral is "partial 16S ribosomal RNA". It matches the Rfam family "Bacterial small subunit ribosomal RNA", at positions 568 to 774 of the family's 1533-position model. The record is from RNAcentral.
CAUGCAGGCGGCCUGUCAAGCGGGAUGUGAAAGCCCCGGGCUCAACCCGGGAAGUGCAUUCCGAACUGUCAGGCUUGAGUCCGGAAGAGGGUGGUGGAAUUCCUGGUGGAACGGUGAAAUGUGUAGAUAUCAGGAGGAACACCGGUGGCGAAGGCGACCACCUGGUCCGGUACUGACGCUCAAGUGCGAAAGCGUGGGGAGCAAACA